Molecule: unclassified non-coding RNA, 284 nt
Filed under: fungal sp.
Lineage: Eukaryota; Fungi
Description: partial internal transcribed spacer region
Rfam family: Eukaryotic small subunit ribosomal RNA (bases 1-45)
Source: RNAcentral
AGUCGUAACAAGGUUUCCGUAGGUGAACCUGCGGAAGGAUCAUUACUAAAUCCAACCAAUUAAUACCAUGUUGAAACGUACGUGUGCGUGUUGUUUUGUGGCGUUGCGUGUGAUAUGAUGAAAGAGAGCGAGAAAUCGUUCUUGAUCCUCUCUCACUCUACCUACACAAACACACAUACUCUAACAUAUACACCCUAUGAUGUCGUACCAAUGACAGUUAUUUAUAAAAUUAUUAUUAUUACACAAAAAAAGCAUAACUUUUAACAAUGGAUCUCUUGGCUCUU